This 363-nucleotide ribosomal RNA is filed under the name Triticum aestivum (bread wheat). RNAcentral describes it as "partial small subunit ribosomal RNA". The record is from RNAcentral. Lineage: Eukaryota; Viridiplantae; Streptophyta; Magnoliopsida; Poales; Poaceae.
AUGAUCUCCCCGCGCGGAUACGGCGCGCCGUUGUCGAGCUUGGCCACGGCGGAGAUCCGGCUCCACAACCACACGCCGGCGGUGGAAGACUGCGGGGGCUUUCUCCGUGGGAUGCCGCCAUGGACCUCCUUCUCCUCAACCAUGGAGCGGCAGCAGGGGAGCCCCGGUCCCCGUCUACUUCUUCUCCAUCAAGCUCUGACGUCCGACUCCAGCGACUCUCCCUUCUUCCUUUUGCAGUACGCUGGGAACACUCGACAUGACAUCCACCUACUGAUUCGUGCUCUACAUCUGGAAACUUACGGAAAUAAGGUGCAUGACAUUAUUAAUUCUUUUGGAGCUGCAGAUUAUUCCACCCUGUUUUGA